GAUGAACGCUGGCGGCGUGCCUAACACAUGCAAGUCGAACGAAGCUUGACGGAUGAUUUCUUCGGAAUGAAACCAGAUAUGACUUAGUGGCGGACGGGUGAGUAACACGUGAGCAACCUGCCUUUCAGAGGGGGAUAACGGCUGGAAACGGUCGCUAAUACCGCAUGAUGUGUUCGGAUGGCAUCAUCUGAACAUCAAAGAUUUAUCGCUGAAAGAUGGGCUCGCGUCUGAUUAGAUAGUUGGUGGGGUACGGCCUACCAAGUCUACGAUCAGUAGCCGGACUGAGAGGUUGAACGGCCACAUUGGGACUGAGAUACGGCCCAGACGACUACGGGAGGCAGCAGUGGGGAAUAUUGCACAAUGGGGGAAACCCUGAUGCAGCAACGCCGCGUGAAGGAUGACGGUUUUCGGAUUGUAAACUUCUUUUCUUAGUGACGAAGACAGUGACGGUAGCUAAGGAAUAAGCAUCGGCUAACUACGUG
This 482-nucleotide ribosomal RNA is filed under the name uncultured bacterium. Its description in RNAcentral is "partial 16S ribosomal RNA". It matches the Rfam family "Bacterial small subunit ribosomal RNA", at positions 28 to 507 of the family's 1533-position model. The record is from RNAcentral.